This 425-nucleotide ribosomal RNA is filed under the name uncultured bacterium. RNAcentral describes it as "partial 16S ribosomal RNA". It matches the Rfam family "Bacterial small subunit ribosomal RNA", at positions 354 to 796 of the family's 1533-position model. The record is from RNAcentral.
GUGGGGAAUAUUGGACAAUGGGCGAAAGCCUGAUCCAGCCAUGCCGCGAGAGUGAUGAAGGCCUUAGGGUUGUAAAGCUCUUUCAGUAGGGAAGAUAAUGACGGUACCUACAGAAGAAGCCCCGGCUAACUUCGUGCCAGCAGCCGCGGUAAUACGAAGGGGGCUAGCGUUGGUUGGAUUUACUGGGCUUUAAGCGCACGUAGGCGGAUUGGUCAGUUAGAGGUGAAAUCCUGGAGCUCAACUCCAGAGCUGCCUUUAAUACUGCCAGUCUAGAGUCCAGAAGAGGUGAGUGGAACUCCUAGUGUAGAGGUGGAAUUCGUAGAUAUUAGGAAGAACACCAGUGGCGAAGGCGGCUCACUGGUCUGGUACUGACGCUGAGGUGCGAAAGCGUGGGGAGCAAACAGGAUUAGAUACCCUAGUAGUCC